AUUAUUGCGCCAUGUAUGAAACUGUGUCGCACUGUCGCCGCGUGAUCGAUGCCGUUCUUCGGAUCGUAAAGCUCGGUUCUUGGGGCAGUAGACCGAAAGAGUUGACGGUACCUGAGGAGGAAGCCCCGGUUAACGACGUGCCAGCAGCCGCGGUAAUACGUAGGGGGCAAGCGUUGUCAGGAAUUAUUGGGCGUAAAGGGUGCGUAGGCGGCUUUUUAAGUCAGAUGUGAAAGAACACGGCUUAACCGUGGGGUGGCAUUUGAAACUGGAAGGCUUGAGUAUCGGAGAGGGUAGUGGAAUUCCCAGUGUAGAAGUGAAAUGCGUAGAUAUUGGGAGGAACACCAGUGGCGAAGGCGACUACCUGGACGAAAACUGACGCUGAUGCACGAAAGCUAGGGGAGCAAACAG
This 408-nucleotide ribosomal RNA is filed under the name uncultured bacterium. RNAcentral's name for it is "partial 16S ribosomal RNA". It matches the Rfam family "Bacterial small subunit ribosomal RNA", at positions 360 to 775 of the family's 1533-position model. The record is from RNAcentral.